GCUAGCGUAGCUCAAUAGGCAGAGCGGUUGAUUUGUAAUCAACAGGUUAGGGGUUCGAUUCCCCUCGCUAGCU
Molecule: transfer RNA, 73 nt
Filed under: Thermoguttaceae bacterium
Lineage: Bacteria; Pseudomonadati; Planctomycetota; Planctomycetia; Pirellulales; Thermoguttaceae
Description: tRNA-Thr
Rfam family: tRNA
About the family: Transfer RNA (tRNA) molecules are approximately 80 nucleotides in length. Their secondary structure includes four short double-helical elements and three loops (D, anti-codon, and T loops). Further hydrogen bonds mediate the characteristic L-shaped molecular structure. tRNAs have two regions of fundamental functional importance: the anti-codon, which is responsible for specific mRNA codon recognition, and the 3' end, to which the tRNAs corresponding amino acid is attached (by aminoacyl-tRNA synthetases). tRNAs cope with the degeneracy of the genetic code in two manners: having more than one tRNA (with a specific anti-codon) for a particular amino acid; and 'wobble' base-pairing, i.e. permitting non-standard base-pairing at the 3rd anti-codon position.
Source: RNAcentral